AUUGAACGCUGGCGGCAUGCCUUACACAUGCAAGUCGAACGGCAGCACGGGAGCAAUCCUGGUGGCGAGUGGCGAACGGGUGAGUAAUAUAUCGGAACGUGCCCAGUCGUGGGGAUAACGUAGCGAAAGCUACGCUAAUACCGCAUACUAUCUAUGGAUGAAAGCGGGGGAUCGCAAGACCUCGCGCGAUUGGAGCGGCCGAUAUCAGAUUAGGUAGUUGGUGAGGUAAAGGCUCACCAAGCCGACGAUCUGUAGCUGGUCUGAGAGGACGACCAGCCACACUGGGACUGAGACACGGCCCAGACUCCUACGGGAGGCAGCAGUGGGGAAUUUUGGGACAAUGGGCGCAAGCCUGAUCCAGCAAUGCCGCGUGCAGGAUGAAGGCCUUCGGGUUGUUAAACGUG
RNAcentral lists this ribosomal RNA (404 nucleotides) under uncultured bacterium. Its description in RNAcentral is "bacterial SSU rRNA". It matches the Rfam family "Bacterial small subunit ribosomal RNA", at positions 30 to 434 of the family's 1533-position model. The record is from RNAcentral.